ACGGGGGGAGGAAAGUAGGGGAUCGUAAGACCUUGUGCUUUUUGAGCGGCCGAUGCCUGAUUAGCUUGUUGGUGAGGUAAUGGCUUACCAAGGCGACGAUCAGUAGCUGGUCUGAGAGGACGACCAGCCACACUGGGACUGAGACACGGCCCAGACUCCUACGGGAGGCAGCAGUGGGGAAUUUUGGACAAUGGGCGAAAGCCUGAUCCAGCCAUGCCGCGUGAGUGAAGAAGGCCUUCGGGUUGUAAAGCUCUUUCGGUCGGGAAGAAAUAGUUGCGGCUAAUAUCUGCAAUGAAUGACGGUACCGACAUAAGAAGCACCGGCUAACUACGUGCCAGCAGCCGCGGUAAUACGUAGGGUGCAAGCGUUAAUCGGAAUUAUUGGGCGUAAAGGGUGCGCAGGUGGUUAUAUAAGUCAGAUGUGAAAUCCCUGGGCUUAACCUAGGAAUUGCGUUUGAAACUACAAAGCUAG
Molecule: ribosomal RNA, 471 nt
Filed under: uncultured Nitrosospira sp.
Lineage: Bacteria; Pseudomonadati; Pseudomonadota; Betaproteobacteria; Nitrosomonadales; Nitrosomonadaceae
Description: bacterial SSU rRNA
Rfam family: Bacterial small subunit ribosomal RNA
Source: RNAcentral